CAGUAGCCGCGGUAAUACGUAGGUGGCAAGCGUUGUCCGGAAUUAUUGGGCGUAAAGCGCGCGCAGGUGGUUUAAUAAGUCUGAUGUGAAAGCCCACGGCUCAACCGUGGAGGGUCAUUGGAAACUGUUAAACUUGAGUGCAGGAGAGAAAGGUGGAAUUCCUAGUGUAGCGGUGAAAUGCGUAGAGAUUAGGAGGAACACCAGUGGCGAAGGCGGCUUUUUGGCCUGUAACUGACACUGAGGCGCGAAAGCGUGGGGAGCAAACAGGAUUAGAUACCCCGGUAGUCCCUGUCUCUUAUAC
This 301-nucleotide ribosomal RNA is filed under the name uncultured bacterium. Its description in RNAcentral is "partial 16S ribosomal RNA". It matches the Rfam family "Bacterial small subunit ribosomal RNA", at positions 509 to 807 of the family's 1533-position model. The record is from RNAcentral.